Molecule: long non-coding RNA, 1506 nt
Filed under: Ficedula albicollis (Collared flycatcher)
Lineage: Eukaryota; Metazoa; Chordata; Aves; Passeriformes; Muscicapidae
Description: lncRNA (ENSFALG00000026900.1)
Source: RNAcentral
GGGCACAAUGAGAUUUGGGAAUUUGGGAUGGACAGGGGGCACAAUGAGAUUUGGGAAUUUGGGAUGGACAGGGGGCACAAUGAGAUUUGGGAAUUUGGGAUGGACAGGGGGCACAAUGAGAUUUGGGAAUUUGGGAUGGACAGGGGGCACAAUGAGAUUUGGGAAUUUGGGAUGGACAGGGGGCACAAUGAGAUUUGGGAAUUUGGGAUGGACAGGGGGCACAAUGAGAUUUGGGAAUUUGGGAUGGACAGGGGGCACAAUGAGAUUUGGGAAUUUGGGAUGGACAGGGGGCACAAUGAGAUUUGGGAAUUUGGGAUGGACAGGGGGCACAAUGAGAUUUGGGAAUUUGGGAUGGACAGGGGGCACAAUGAGAUUUGGGAAUUUGGGAUGGACAGGGGGCACAAUGAGAUUUGGGAAUUUGGGAUGGACAGGGGGCACAAUGAGAUUUGGGAAUUUGGGAUGGACAGGGGGGCACAGUGAGAUUUGGGAAUUUGGGAUGGGGGCACAGUGAGAUUUGGGAAUUUGGGAUGGACGGGGCACAGUGAGAUUUGGGAAUUUGGUAUGGGAGCACAGCGAGAUUUGGGAAUUUGGGGUGGGUGGGCUCUGCACCCACUGGAGCUGCCGAACAUGGAGAAGGUUUCUGUGGAGGAGGAGAGCAGGGGGAAUGUGCGGGAAGCCUCUAAUAAAGUUCUCUCUCAUUUAUUACUCCUGUGUCCUCCCUUCUGUCUGUUAGAGGAGCCCUGGGUUUUCCAGGAGAAUUAAUUUCCAGCAGGAGAUCCUGUGUCCUCCCUUCUGUCUGUUAGAGGAGCCCUGGGUUUUCCAGGAGAAUUAAUUUCCAGGAGGAGAAUUUUCUCAUUUUUCCUUCACUCUGAUUUUUUCCUUCACUCUGAUUUUUUCCCUUCACUGAUUUCCCCUUCACUCCGAUUGAUUUUUUCCUUCACUGAUUUCUCCUUCACUCUGAUUUUUUCCCUUCUUUCUGAUUUUUUCCUUCAUUCUCAUUUUCCCUUCAUUCCGAUUUUUCCUUCACUCUCAUUUUUUCUUCUCUCUGAUUUUUCCUUCACUCUGAUUUUCCCUUCACUCCGAUUUUUUCCUUCACCUUCGGGUGCUGAAACCAGAACAACUCCCAUGGGAAUUUCUGCAGCUUUUCGGGGUUUUUGGGGUUUGAGUUGGGAUUUUUCGGGGCUUUUGGGGUUUGAGUUGGGGUGUUUGGGGUCUGAGUUGGAGGUUUUUGGGGUUUUGGGGUUUGAGGUUUUCAGGGGUUUGGGUUUUUUUGGGGUUUGAGUUGCGGGUUUUCGGGUUUUUUGGGGUUUGAGUUGCGGUUUUUCGGGGGUUUUGGGGGUUGAGUUGGAGUUUUUGAGAUUUUUGGGGUCUGAGUUGGAGUUUUUGGGGUUUGAGUUGGGGAUUUUGGGGUUUUGGGAGGUUUGAGUUGGGGUUUUUCGGGGCUUUUGGGGUUUGAGUCCCCCCCCCCCCCCCCCCCCCCCCCCCCCCCCCCCCCCCCCCCCCCCC